Molecule: long non-coding RNA, 980 nt
Organism: Daphnia pulicaria
Lineage: Eukaryota; Metazoa; Arthropoda; Branchiopoda; Diplostraca; Daphniidae
Exons: 4
Source: RefSeq, a predicted model, not a curated record
ACAGACGGCCAGUCGCCAAAGUUUGUUCGUUUCUUUUUUAGUUUUGAACAAUUCUUUAAUUCUAUUAAAGCGAAAUUUAUUGCUGUUUGCGACAGUCGGGAACAUUACUUUAUUAUCUUUGUGUGUCGAGCUUUCAUUUUUAUACGAAAAAAUGAUAAUUUGCAAAAGUUAUGUAGCAGGAAUAAUCGCUUCGUCAUAAUUGCCCUGCAGAGUUGUUUACACAGCCUCUUGUUAAUGAACAAAAGGGCAAGAAAAAGCUUUAACGUAAUACUGGCAAAGAAUGGAGGAAGGAAAUUUAAAUUUUAAAAGACCUUGACGUUUCCUUACAGACUGACUGUGGAAUCUGUUUCCAUUUCCUUUGUUUUCUCAGCAGGUGACGUGCAGGUAACAAAUGACUCGGCGUGCGGCCUUGUGGUCUAUGACGACCAACUCAUCGACACAUCACUUUCGUGAUCGCCAGCCAACGCCACAGACGCCAUGUCUCGCAGUCACUUUUUCUUGAUCGCCCUGUCGCUCGCCGUGGUGGUGGCGUAUUGUUCCGCGAUUCCGGUGGAAGUGGACGAGGUUGCUGCCAAUCCAGUAACCAUUGACGAAUCAUUAGCUCCCAACGAACGACCGAAACGUUAAUUUCUUGCAGGACUCUUGAUUGGAAAAGCUCUUGGUACUGGGUACGGUUACGGAUUGGGUCGGUCAGCUCAUUACGGAGGCUAUGGAUACCCCGGCCACUACUACGGGAGACCUUACGGCUAUGGAUACGGAGGCCACCACUACUGGUAGAAAGAAGAUGGACUAAUAUUUUUACGCACUUUGGCGAAUUUCCAGUUGUCAUUAUUACUGCCAUUAAGUAUAGACAAUGAUUAACAUUAUUUUGAUGGCUUGGCACCAGCUUCAUAUGCAUAUGUACACCGUUUACUAACUUUGAUGGAAUUAUUGGACUGCAAUUCGAGUAAAUAUAAUUUAUUGUUAAUAUUUCGUAAUUA